GAUGAAGAACGUAGCGAAAUGCGAUACGUAAUGUGAAUUGCAGAAUUCAGUGAAUCAUCGAGUCUUUGAACGCACAUUGCGCCCACUGGUAUUCCGGUGGGCAUGCCUGUUCGAGCGUCAUUAUCCUCCCUCAAACCCCGGGUUUGGUGUUGGACCCAAGUUGUGUGAACAACUGGUCUUAAAGACAAUGACGGCGUCCGUGGGACCCUCGGUGCAACGAGCUUUUAGGAGCACGCAUCGAGUUGCAAGGACCUUCCGGGCCGGUCUCCUUUACUAUUUUACAAGGUUGACCUCGGAUCAGGUAGGAAUACCCGCUGAACUUAAGCAUAUCAAUAAGCGGAGGA
This 344-nucleotide unclassified non-coding RNA is filed under the name soil metagenome. RNAcentral's name for it is "partial contains 5.8S ribosomal RNA, internal transcribed spacer 2, and large subunit ribosomal RNA". The stretch from base 1 to 120 matches the Rfam family "5.8S ribosomal RNA", at positions 35 to 154 of the family's 154-position model. The record is from RNAcentral.